CCGAGUGAGGGCCCUCGCGCCCGACCUCCCAACCCUUUGUUGUACCCAACCGUUGCCUCGGGGGGCGACCCGGCCGUUCGCGCCGGGCGGCCCUCCGAGGUCCAUUGACAACCUGCAUUUUGACGUCGGAGUAUUGAAAACAAUCAAUCA
This 150-nucleotide unclassified non-coding RNA is filed under the name uncultured fungus. RNAcentral describes it as "sequence contains ITS1, 5.8S rRNA gene". Lineage: Eukaryota; Fungi. The record is from RNAcentral.